RNAcentral lists this ribosomal RNA (253 nucleotides) under uncultured bacterium. Its description in RNAcentral is "partial 16S ribosomal RNA". It matches the Rfam family "Bacterial small subunit ribosomal RNA", at positions 524 to 776 of the family's 1533-position model. The record is from RNAcentral.
UACGUAGGGACCGAGCGUUGUCCGGAUUCAUUGGGCGUAAAGAGCUCGUAGGCGGCCACUCAAGUCGAAUGUGAAACCUCGAGGCUUAACCUCGAGCCUGCAUUCGAUACUGGGCGGCUAGAGUCUGGUAGGGGGAUCUGGAAUUCCUGGUGUAGCGGUGGAAUGCGUAGAUAUCUGGAGGAAUACCGGUGGCGAAGGCGGCAUCCUGGACCGGCAUUGACGCUGAGGAGCGAAAGCCAGGGGAGCAAACGGG